Danio rerio (zebrafish) is the source of this 535-nucleotide non-coding RNA. The record is from RefSeq and is a predicted model, not a curated record. NCBI's taxonomy places the organism in Eukaryota, Metazoa, Chordata, Actinopteri, Cypriniformes, Danionidae.
AUAAAAAUUAUUUUAAACAACUUAAUUAAACUAAUUGAUUUUACCUUGAAUAAUUAUACCUUCAUUUUUAAAAAGUUCAGUGAAUUAUUGGACCAGAUGUUCCAGAAAGGGGAUGGGAAAACUCUGCCUGCUGAAGUGGACUCUGUCCAACGUUAAAGUACACUGCAUAAUUUGUGUGGCAGAGAAAACCCAUCACCAUCUCCAGCAAUGCUCAGAAAUUGAUGUUUGCCUCAAACUACUUCUUGAACAUUUCAUACCCAGGAGUACAAAGUGCAAGGCUAGAGUUUGUGCAAAGCAGGUUUCUUUUAAAAUGGAACCCAGAGAAGGAAGUGGAGAAGACCAGAGGAAUCAGAGAAGAAUCGGAAGUGGAGAAGACCAGAUCAAGGAAGACCACAUUAAGAUCUGCGGAGGAAACCGGAGAGCCCAGGGAAAACCAACGCAAACACGGGGAGAGCAUGCAAACUCCACACAGAAAUGCAGACUUGGCCAGGUAAGAUCUGAGCCAGUGAGAUUCUUGCUGUGAGGCAAUAAUCCU